UACGUAGGGUGCGAGCGUUAAUCGGAAUUACUGGGCGUAAAGCGUGCGCAGGCGGUUAUGUAAGACAGAUGUGAAAUCCCCGGGCUCAACCCGGGAACUGCAUUUGUGACUGCAUAGCUAGAGUACGGUAGAGGGGGAUGGAAUUCCGCGUGUAGCAGUGAAAUGCGUAGAUAUGCGGAGGAACACCGAUGGCGAAGGCAAUCCCCUGGACCUGUACUGACGCUCAUGCACGAAAGCGUGGGGAGCAAACAGG
This 253-nucleotide ribosomal RNA is filed under the name uncultured bacterium. Its description in RNAcentral is "partial 16S ribosomal RNA". It matches the Rfam family "Bacterial small subunit ribosomal RNA", at positions 524 to 776 of the family's 1533-position model. The record is from RNAcentral.